GGGAACAACCACAGGUGCUGACCCAGGGCACGGUUGGGGCCACGCAGGACUGGUUAACGGAUGUGUAGAAGACCAGUGCUAGAGGGAAGCAGGGCAGUAGCACAGGAAAGCACAUACUUACCUGUCUGGGCAGCUGAGUCAUCAUACCCAUCCUGAAGCCCACUCAUUUCUUGGACAAUCUAGUGCCAGGUGUCCUGGACCUUCGCUGAAACACCUGCAGUAAUCUGUGCCUGCAGCUGGGGCUGCCUCACUGCACACGACUGGGUUCCAAGGGACAGAGGAAGGGAGAGAAAGAAAGCAAGAAGAGAUGGAGGCACGAGAGCUGGGCAGGCUGACCUGCCGAGUGGCCGCGGCGGACACUGUCCUAGAGAGCCGUCCAGACUCCCAGCAGACCUUGCAUUAGCACCAGCCAUCCUGGAUCUGUUGCCCUCACCAUGCUGAACCAUAAGCAAGCCUGUUGAAGACAGACAAACAGAUGCCUGGCCUGGUCCUCCCCGCCGCCCCCUCCCUGCUGCCCCCUGGACACUUGCUGCUCCAGUGUGCACCAUGGUGAGGGCACAGGGAGGCACCACCUGCAUAGAUCUCACAACAGCACAUGGAGAGCUCUGCGCCAGGCCUUGGGUGCUUCUGGAUUCCUUGCAGCUGGUGAUUAUUUCAGGCCCGCUGCUGCCUCUAGCCAUGGCUCUUCAAUGAACUUGUAUCGGAAGAGAUUUACUACUCUAACUAGAUCUGUAUCUCAAUUUAAUGAAAAUGUUAAGGAUACUUUGAUGGUCUUGCGCCAGUGUAAUUUUAAAUGAAAUGUCUUCACUCUUUGGCAGCCUGCACUGCUCAGGUGUUUAACUAUCAGAAAGUGCUUAAGUGAAGUGCUCUUUGCAAUACUGUCUUUACAUCAGCUUGUUUUACAGCAUUUUUUUCCCCAGAGUAAACAAAAUAAGUUUUGUGGGUAUCUUUGAGGCAAAGCCUCAUCUGUGUUGCUAGAAAUUAAACCCUGGCCACCAUAGGUUACAAAGUGGUGCAUCUUGGGGGAGACACCAGGCCUGGUGCUUCUUUCUAAGCUUUGGUUUCCACGUUUGUAAAAUGUGGGUAAUAACGUUUCCCUCAUAGGACUGCUCUACGCACAUAAGUUUAAAAGUCCGUAUGGGGCCGCGCACAGUGGCUCACACCUGUAAUCCCAGCACUUUGGGAGGCUGAAGUGGGUGGAUCACUU
RNAcentral lists this long non-coding RNA (1207 nucleotides) under Homo sapiens (human). RNAcentral describes it as "HSALNT0344479". Lineage: Eukaryota; Metazoa; Chordata; Mammalia; Primates; Hominidae. The record is from RNAcentral.